RNAcentral lists this transfer RNA (76 nucleotides) under Gammaproteobacteria bacterium. RNAcentral describes it as "tRNA-Thr". It matches the Rfam family "tRNA". From Rfam's summary of the family: Transfer RNA (tRNA) molecules are approximately 80 nucleotides in length. Their secondary structure includes four short double-helical elements and three loops (D, anti-codon, and T loops). Further hydrogen bonds mediate the characteristic L-shaped molecular structure. tRNAs have two regions of fundamental functional importance: the anti-codon, which is responsible for specific mRNA codon recognition, and the 3' end, to which the tRNAs corresponding amino acid is attached (by aminoacyl-tRNA synthetases). tRNAs cope with the degeneracy of the genetic code in two manners: having more than one tRNA (with a specific anti-codon) for a particular amino acid; and 'wobble' base-pairing, i.e. permitting non-standard base-pairing at the 3rd anti-codon position. Lineage: Bacteria; Pseudomonadati; Pseudomonadota; Gammaproteobacteria. The record is from RNAcentral.
GCUGGCGUAGCUCAGUUGGUAGAGCUCCUGAUUUGUAAUCAGGUGGUCGUUGGUUCGAAUCCAAUCGCCAGCUCCA